AACCUGGUUGAUCCUGCCAGUAGUCAUAUGCUUGUCUCAAAGACUAAGCCAUGCAUGUCUAAGUAUAAGUAUUAUACAGCGAAACUGCGAAUGGCUCAUUAAAACAGUUAUAAUUUAUUUGAUAAUCGAAUUUACAUGGAUAACCGUGGUAAUUCUAGAGCUAAUACAUGCUGGUAGGCCCGACUUUUUGGAAGGGCGGUAUUUAUUAGAUAACAAACCAAUAUUCCUCUGGUCUAUUGUGGUGAAUCAUAAUAACUGAUCGAAUCGCAAGGUUUUUAACCGCGAUAAGUCAUUCAAGUUUCUGCCCCAUCAGCUUUCGAUGGUAGUGUAUUGGACUACCAUGGCUUUUACGGGUAACGGAGGAUUAGGGUUCGAUUCCGGAGAGGGAGCCUGAGAAACGGCUACCACAUCUAAGGAAGGCAGCAGGCGCGUAAAUUACCCAAUCCUGACUCAGGGAGGUAGUGACAAGAAAUAACGGACCGAGGCCUUCGGGCUUCGGGAUUGCAAUGAGCCGAAUUUACACCCCUUAGCGAAGAUCGAUUGGAGGGCAAGUCUGGUGCCAGCAGCCGCGGUAAUUCCAGCUCCAAUAGCGUAUAUUAAUGUUGUUGCAGUUAAAAAGCUCGUAGUGGAU
Molecule: ribosomal RNA, 631 nt
Filed under: uncultured marine eukaryote
Lineage: Eukaryota
Description: SSU rRNA
Rfam family: Eukaryotic small subunit ribosomal RNA
Source: RNAcentral